ACUGCAGAGGUUUGAAUUUUAAAACUCAGUGUCACUUUGUCGUCCACGUGGCAGUCACCGACGAGUAACGACGCGCAUUGCGCACUUCCUUUCUCUCUUUCCCCUUUGUUUCUCUCUUUAACACACACUACUCUCCCUGCACUGCCGUCCAUUCUCUCCAGAACCUUCCCAUGCUCUGCUCGCCCCAGACCGGAAAAUCCGGUCUAAACUGGCUCGACCGCCUCCGCUCCAACAAGGGCAUCCCCACCGGCGACGAACCUGACCUCGAUUCCUUCCUCCUCUCGGCCCCUCCGCAAUCCCCGCAGGCCCGCCCCAAUGACCCGCCCCUUAACCCUCCCUCCGUGGCCCGCGACGAGCCCAUGCCCAUGAGCACCAUCCUCGCUGAGCUCUUCUGCAUGGGCGCCACCCUCUCCAAAACAAACAAGAAAUGCCCCAGGAAACAGACCAACCCUAAAAUCUUCCUCGCUUCCUCCGCCGCCGCCACCACCACCACCUCCUCUAAAUCCUCCGCCCCAGUCCCCGCCCCCGCCGCUCCCAGUAGCGACGCGUUGGUGCCGGAAGUGGAAGAUGAACCCGCCGCGGAUCGCGACGAGGACGAGGAGGAGGGGAACGAGUUGAAGGGGUUCACAAAGAGCGAGGUGACGGUAAUUGACACGAGUUGCCCCGGGUGGAAGGUGGACAAGUUCGUGUUCAGGAAGAACAACGUUUGGAAAGUCAGAGAGCGGAAACCUAAGAACAGGUUUCUCGCCAAGAGGAAAAGUAACUCCACUUUCGCACCUCGUGAAGUUGAUGUCAAUGCAAUUGAGAACUCCAAGGACAAUGUAAUCAACAUGAGAGGAGAGAAGCCUGUAAAGACACAAAAGGCCAUUUUGGUAAGAAGUAUGUGAAGAACAUGGAAAGGAAGGAGAUCUAUGUAACUAGACUAUAAGGUAGUUCGGAUAGGUUUUCCAAACAAAUCCAGAAAGGAAAAUACAUCUGUCAUUUUAAUAACAGCCACCUCUUUGUAAAAGAGCACAGGAAAAAGAACAAAGUUUAAGAAACCAAGAGUCAGAAAAUAAUUAAAGUCUUUACAGGUCAUUUAACUUGAAAUUUUAAGUUAGCUGCAGCAAGUUAAUGCAGGUUUCGCCUUUGUGCAAUUUGAUGGUGGCACUACUGAUCUAUCAUUGGCAUUUAUCAAUUAAAAACUACGAUGUCCUCUUGGAAAGAGCUUGGUUUUGGAGUUCUAAACAUGCAUUGUAGUGUCAAAACAUUAGCCUUUGUAAAUUUCGGUUCUAUUUUUCCUAAAUUGAAAUAUUUUUUUCUUCAAUAUAUUACUAUAUUUGCAGCCGUGAGUUGCUUUUCUUU
This is an RNA transcript of Glycine soja, 1344 nucleotides long. RefSeq lists it as uncharacterized. The transcript has 4 exons. NCBI's taxonomy places the organism in Eukaryota, Viridiplantae, Streptophyta, Magnoliopsida, Fabales, Fabaceae. The record is from RefSeq and is a predicted model, not a curated record.